This is a long non-coding RNA of Anolis carolinensis (green anole), 22310 nucleotides long. RefSeq lists it as uncharacterized. The record is from RefSeq and is a predicted model, not a curated record. The transcript is spliced from 2 exons. Lineage: Eukaryota; Metazoa; Chordata; Lepidosauria; Squamata; Anolidae.
GGGCACACUGGGUGCCGUGCCAAAAGAUCUCAGCUGGCAUUUGGAAACAAUAGACAUUGACAAAAUCACGAUCUGCCAACUGCAAAAGGCCACCCUACUGGGAUCUGCACGCAUCAUCCGAAAAUACAUCACACAAUCCUAGACACUUGGAAGUGUUCGACUUGUGAUUUUGUGAAACGAAAUCCAGCAUAUCUAUCUUGUUUGCUGUGUCAUACAAUGUCGUUGUGUCAAUAAUAAUAAUAAUAACUUUAUUUUUAUACCCCGCCCCAUCUCCCCGAAGGGACUCGGGGCGGCUUACAUGGGGCCUAGCCCGAUAAAACAAUCAAUAUCAAUAGCACAACUAUAAAACAGUUAUACCAGUAAAACAUCAAUAGCAAUAAAACAAUCGUUAAAAUCAGCAAGAAGCAUACAAAAAACAUACAAUAUUAAAACAGGAGACUAAUUCAUAAAAUCCAGAACAGAAUGUGCCUGUAGAAAUGGACAAUAAAGUGCAAAAUAGCAUUGGCAACAUCUCAGAAAAGGGGGCUAUUAUAAAAUGGGCAGAUGGAUCAGUCCAACAUCUAAUCUAAGUAUGGUGGUAUAUAUUACAGUAGAAUCUCACUUAUCCAUCAUUCGCUUAUCCAAUGUUCUGGAUUAUCCAACUUAGUCUGCCUUUUAGUAGCAAAUGUUUUUGUAGUCAGUGUUUUAAAUUCAUUGUGAUAUUUUGGUGGUAAAUUUGUGAUGCAGUAAUUACUACAUAGCAUUACUGUACAUGGAACUACUUUUUCUGUCAAAUUUGUUGUAUAACAUGAUGUUUUGGUGAUUUGUAUAAUGAUUCCCUAAUUUGAUGUUUAAUCGCCUUUUCCUGAAUCCCUUCUUAUUAUCCAACUUAUUCGCUUAUCCAAUGUUCUGCCGGCCUCUUUAUGUUGGAUAAGUGAGACUCUACUGUAUAUUUAUAAUCUUAUAUUAUCUGGUUAGAACUGGAUUAUAUGAGGCCCCUUCUACACAGUUGUAUAAAAUGCAUACUGAAGUGGAUUAUAUGGCAGUGUGGAGUCAAAAUAAUCCAGUUCAAAUCAGAUAAUAUAAGAUUAUAAAUGGGUUAUAUAGCUGUGUUGAAGAGCCUUGAGUCUACACUGCCAUAUAAUCCAGUUCAAAUCUGAUAAUCUGUAUUUUAUAGGCAGUGUGGAAAAGGCCUAAGUGAGGCCUAACUCUGCCUGUCUCCUGGGCUGAGUGGGUUGCUAGGAGACCAAGUGGGCAGAGCUUAGCCUUCUAACUGGCAGCAAUUGGAUAAAAACAAUUAUUCCUCUCCCUCUAAUUAGGACUUUAUUUUUCUUUUCUUUUUGUUGUAUGAACGUAGAGGCAUGGAUGAGGGGUUGUGCUGCCAAGUUUAGUGUUUCUGGGAUGUGUAGUUUUGUUGUUUUGUCCUAGGCCGAAAUUUCAUUACCCUUUUAUAUAUAUAGAUUUAUGAUUUUAAGAUUAACAUUAAAAGUGCGGGAACAAUAUAGAUAAGCAGGGAGGGCAGCCUGGUUUAAGGAUGAAGCAUGAGGAUCUCGGACUAAUGGAAUUAAUUAUAUAUACGUUUUAAGGUUUUAACAAUGUUAUUAAUGGAUCUAUAUGUAUUGUUUUGCUCUUAUGAUUGCAUUUUGGGGCAUUAAAUUUUGCCAAUUUUUGUAAGCUGCCCUGAGUCCCCUUGGGUGAGAAGGGCGGGGUAUAAAUGUUGUAAAUAAAUAAGUAAAUAAAUAGUGUUGGAUAGAAAAGUAGGAAAGGAGAAAAAUAAUGGAAAAAGGGAGGGGGAAAAGGGGAGUAAAAGAGGAAAACAAAUAAUAAAGAUUUCUUUUUUGUUGACUUGCAAUCUCUAUCCUUACUGUCCUUAGUGGAGGAAAAAUCAUUUCCCAUUGUUUAUGUGUUUUUGUUUUGUAUGGCGUUGAAUGUUUUCUGACUUUGUUGUUCACUGCCCUGAGUCCUUUUGGGAAGAUUGCAUCAUUGAAAGGAGAACCAAAUAUGCAUCAGGACAAAUCAAAAAGAACUAGGAUCUGAAAUGGGGAAGAUUGAUAGAUAAAGUCAAAGGAAAAGGAAAAUAUAAAGAACUGAACCAUUCUCUUUUUACGAUUGAUCAAUUAAAAUAAUACCUGAAUGAAGGAAAGUACUGUUCCCAGAGGGUGCAGGAGGGGGGACAUAUCGAUAGACACAAGUGGGAGAUAAAGGUGGAAUCAUCAGGUUAAUAUUACUAAGAAAAUAUCAUUUGAUAUGUAUAUGGAAAUGGUGAUGGAUUUUCUUUGGAAGCUUUUAAACAGAGGCUGGAUGGCCAUCUGUCGGGGGUGCUUUGAAUGCGAUUUCCUGAUUCUUAGCAGGGGGUUGGACUGGAUGGCCCAUGAGGUCUCUUGUAACUCUACUAUUCUGUGAUUCUAUGAUUCUAUGAUAUCAUUCUACCUGUGUUUACAAUAAAAAUAUAUUUUAAAAAAAGUAAUCCAUCAAGAAAAUUAAAAAAAAUGAACUACUGCCAGCAUCCAGGGUGAAUAGUCCAAAUAUCAUGCUAAGCCUCCUCGCCUUUAUACACCUGGGCACAUAAGAAAAUAUUUACUGUAUAUACUCGAGUAUAAGCCUAGUUUUUCAGCCCUUUUUUAGGACUGAAAAAGCCCUUCUUGGCUUAUACUCGAGUGAGGGUCCUGGCUGGCUUAUACUCGAGUAUAUAUGGUACAUUUAUUAUUUUUCUCUAUUUUUAUUGGUAUUAUUACAUUGAUAAUUUUACUCUAUUAUUAUUGUUAGUACAGUAGAGUCUCACUUAUCCAACGUUCUGGAUUAUCCAACACAUUUUUGUAGUCAAUGUUUUCAAUACAUCGUGAUAUUUUGGUGCUAAAUUCGUAAAUACAGUAAUUACUACAUAGCAUUACUGCGUAUUGAACUACUUUUUCUGUCAAAUUUGUUCUAUAACAUGCAACGAGCAGGGGCUAUAUUUUAUUUUUAAUUGACAGGUGCUCACCCCGCCACGGGCUGGCCUUGAACUCAUGACCUCAUGGUCAGUGUGAUUUAUUGCAGCAGCUGUUUACCAGCCUGCGCCACAGCCCGGGUUCCCUCUUCUAUUCUCACUCCUUAUGAAUCCCAUCACACUUGGAGUCUGGCAACCUCAUCCUUCAGCCAGAGAGACGGCAAUGGGCAUCUGGAAGCAUUCUGGGAUGGUCUGUGAGAAAACGGGAGUAAAACUGUGCUGGCACUGGGGUGUCCCCCUUCCUGUUUUCAGCCAGCUGCCGCCCUGUAUAGCGCUUAGCUUGCCAAGGGCCUGACAUUUUCCAUCGUUGCCGCACAGAGGGGCUGAGGAUAAAAGGAUUAGAGGAAAUAUCACUCUCUUUGGAGUUCUGAGCAGCAGAAACUGAGUAUAGUAGCUGGUGAGAUCAAAGAAAAAUGUCCCAAUCCAACAGCGUGGGGAUGGUUUCGUGAGCUGCAGUUCAAUGUGUGUCUUAGUUGCGAACUGGAUAGUCUUGCCACUGAACUCCGGAACUGGAGAGCUUGUAGGGAGGAUGCGGGAAGGAGGUGGGUUUUCGGUCAUAUAAGGGUUUUUGGAAGCCGCUCCAAGCCCUAGGGGAUUGGUGGCAUAUAAGUUCAAAUAAUAAAUAAAUAAAUAAAUCAUGGGGUCGCAAGAGAUGUUGGAACAGGACCAAGACGGCACCCCAGCGGAUGAAGGACCUUCACAUCGAACAUAAAAGUGUUCUUCAAUAUAAUGAUCAUGAAUUGUGAUCAACAACUUGUAUAACAAUGUCUGUAUAAAUACAAGGUCUGUACAAAGUAUAAGGUGUGAAAGCUACUUUGAAUUUGCCACGGAGCUGCAGGUUUCUCACCCUUUUCCAGCUGGAAACAGUAAACCCUGAACUCGAAGCCUUGCUGGUCCGGCGUCGUUCUUCCUUGGACCUUCCUUGGGCCAGGCUGUGGCGCAGCUGGCUAGUAACCAGCUGCUAUAAAUCACUACUGACCGAGAGGUCAUAAGUUCAAAGCCCGGGUCGGGUUAAGCCCCCGACCAUUAAAUAGCCCGGCUUGCUGUUGACCUAUGCAGCCCCGAAAGACAGUUGCAUCUGUCAAGUAGGGAAAUUUAGGUACGCUUUAUGCGGGAGGCUAAUUUAACUAAUCUACAACACCAUAAAACUGCCAGCAAAACACGAGGAAAAGAAUGAGGAAGAACUGCCACCAGUGGACGGUGAAGCAACAGCUCUCCCUGUGGCCGGAAUCGUGCAGCUGGAAAGAUGUUAAAUGCCUCUGUGUCUGUCUCUACUGUAUGUUGUUUGUCUGUUGACAUUGAAUGUUUGCCAUAUAUAUGUUCAUUGUAAUCCGCCCUGAGUCCCCUUCGGGAUGAGAAGGGCGGAAUAUAAAUACUGUAAAUAAUAAAUAAAUAAUAAUAAUAUAACCUCUCAUUUCAAAAGGAACAAAGCCAAUGAAUACAAUUUAGGUUACUACCCAAAUGAAUUUCAGCAGGGGUGAACGAAAUGUAGAAAUAUCAGAGAGACAACACCUGGCCUGACAACUACAUGUGAGGAGCCCCCGGUAGCGUAGUGGGUUAAAGCUUUGUGACUUGAAGGUUGGGUUGCUAACCUGAAGGCUGCCAGGUUCGAAUCCAACCCGGGGAGAGCGCAGAUGAGCUCCCUCUAUCAGCUCCAGCUCUAUGCGGGGACAUGAGAGAAGCCUCCCACAAGGAUGGUAAAAAUUGUGUCCCUGGAUUUCAGUAAGGCCUUUGACAAGGUCCCCCAUGACCUUAUAGCAAGGAAACGAGUCCAACGUGGGCAAGGCAAAAACUACGGUUAAGUGGAUCUGUAAUUGGUUAAACGAACAAACUCAAAGGGUGCUCAUCAAUGUGUCUUCUUCAUCCUGGAAAGUAGUGACGAGUGGAGUGCUAUAAAGACGGUUCAGUACUGGGCCCAGUUCUGUUCAAUAUCUUGAUCAAUGACUUAGAUCAGGGAUCCCCAAACUAAGGCCCGGGGGCCAGAUACGGCCCUCCAAGGCCAUUUACCUGGCCCUCGCCCUCAGUUUUAGACUUAGGCUCACAAGUACCCAGCCUUCCAAGCAGCAGGCCUAUUCCAUUGUAUUCCAGCUCACUAAACAAGGAUUUGCAUAAGAAGAAAACAGCUAGGUUUUGAGGCUGCAAGGCUAUUCACUGCUAUUCCACCUGGCCAACAAAUGAUUACCAUAAGCCACAGCAACACGUGGCCGGGCACAGCUAGUAUAAUAUAUUGUGUAUACAUAUAAUAUUGAUAAUAAUAAUAUAAUGUAAUAUAAUAAUACUAAGAAUAAUACAAUAUAAUAAUUAUAUAUUAAAUGUAAUAUUACUAAUAACAUUACAGUACAGCGGUAUAGUACAAUAUAGUAAUAUAUAAUGCUAAUUUUUUGUUGUGCUAAUAAUAUAAUAUAUAUUAUGUACAUACAACUUGUAAGUCGCUCUGAGUCCCCUUUGGGGUGAGAGAGGGUGGGGAAUAAAUGUAGUAAAUAAAUAAAUAAAAUGUUGUUGGGGAUUUUUUUGCACUACAAAUAAGACAUGUGCAGUGUGCAUAGGAAUUUGUUCAUAUUUAUUUCAAAUGAUAAUUCGGCCCCUCAACAGUUUGAGUGACCAUGAACCGGCCCUCCACUUUAAAAGUUUGAGGACCGCUGACUUAGAUGAAGUAUUAGAAGGUGUGAUCAUCAAGUUUGCAGAUGGAAUCAAAUGGGAAGGGAGACCCAAUUCUCCAGAAGACAGGAGCAGAAUUCAAAACAACCUGAACAGAUUAGAGAGGUGAUUGGCCAAAACUAACAAAAUGAAGUUCAACAGGGACAAAUGUAAGAUUCUCCCCUUAGGCAGAAAAAAAUGAAAUGCAAAGAUACAGAAUGGGGGGCGCCUGACUUGUCAACAGUAUGUGUGAAAAGGAUCUUGGAGUCCUCAUGGACAUGAGCCAACAAUGUCAUACUGUGGCUAAAAAAACCAAAGGGAUUUUGGUCUGCAUAAAAAUGAGUAUAGUAUCUAGAUUCAGAGAAGUCCUGUUCCCCUCUAUUCUGCCUUGGUGAGACCACACCUGGAAUCACACUGUGUCCAAUUCUGGGCACCGCAGUUGAAGGGAGAUGUUGACAAGCUGGAAAGCGUCCAGAGGAGGGCGACUAAAAUGAUUAAGGGUCUGGAGAACAAGCCCUAUGAGGAGCGGCUUAAAGAGCUGGGCAUGUUUAGCCUGCAGAAGAGAAGGCUGAGAGGAGACAUGAUCGCCAUGUACAGAUAUGUGAAGGGAAGUCAUAGGGAGGAGGGAGCAAGAUUGUUUUCUGCUGCCCUGGAGAAUAGGAUGCAGAAUAACGGCUUCAAACUACAGGAAAGGAGAUUCCACCUGAACAUCCGGAAGAACUUUCUCACCGUGAAGUGGAACUCUCUUCCCUGGGGUGUGGUAGAGGCUCCUUCUUUGGAGGCUUUUAAACAGAGGCUGGAUGGCCAUCGGUCGGGGGUGCUUUGAAUGAGAUUUUCUUGCUCCUUGGCAGGGGGUUGGACUGGAUGGCCCAUGAGGUCUCUUCCAACUCUACGAUUCUAUGAUUCUACGAUUCUGGGAAAUCCGUUAAUUAAGCAUUUAAAUAACAGGACACUCCUGCUUUGAGAGGUACUAGUGUGGGGAGUACAAAUGUGAUGAAACAGCAGGGAUUGUUCUUUCACUGAGCUGGGAGUUGCACUGUUGCAUAAGCCAUUGGGUUGUCCAGUCAGUGAAUGAAUUGUUAUUCCAUCUAUCUAUAUAUAUAAAAGAGUGAUGGCAUCAAGGCAGCGGACAAAACAACAAAACAAUUUUUCUUUUCUUUUUGUUGUAUCAACCUAGAGCCGUGGAUGAUGGGUUGUGUUGUCAAAUUUCGAGGUUGGGGUGGCCUGUAAAGUCCUAAUUAGAGGGAGAGGAAAAAUUGUUUUUAUCCAAUUGCAGCAAGUUACAAGGCUAAGUUCCGCCCACUUGGUCUCCUAGCAACCUACUCAGCCCAGGGGACAGGCACAAGAGUUUGCAGAGACCCCUAAGGGCCAUCCAGCCCAACCCUUUCUACUAUGCAGCAGGACACAAUCCAAGCAUUCACAACACAUGGACAACGUAUAAAUACUAUACAAUACUACAAAGGGACAUAGACCCCCUCUACCCUCACCACUUUAUUAUUAUUAUUAUUAUUAUUAUUAUUAUUAUUAAACUUUAUUUGUACCCCGCUAGCAUCUCCCGAAGGACUCGAUGCGGCUUACAAAAAAAAGGCCAAGGCCUCAACACACAAUAUAACAAUACAAAACAAAAAGCAAAUUAAAAACAAUUAAAACAGUAUAAACAACAAGCAAUAACAAUACGCUAAAACACAAUAGAACUAGGCCGGGCCAGAGUAAUGGGUACAAGAUUAAAAGUGCUGAUGUGACAGGUGAUAUAUAAGGCUUAUAGGGCAAGUGCAGAGUGCGAUAUGCGAUCUUAAUUCUAAUAAAGUGCUUAUGGGACUUGGUAUUGGAGAUUUCCUAUUAAUCUGGGAAGGCACAUUGGAACACACUUUCACAGUACACAAACAACCAAAUGCAUACUAAACAUAAAGACAACCACACAACAAACAUUCAAUACCACCACUACCUCAACAAGUUCUCACCAACACCACCAGACAACGCCACAGCAACACGUGGCCGGGCAUAGCUAGUAAUAGAUAAGAAAGGUGGUAAUGUGCCUCCUUUCUCUGGUUGUCUUCAAAAAAGAAGCUGGACAACUACCUGCUGGGGAUUGAGUUCCUGCAUUGAGGAAAGGGUUUGAUUUGAUUGCCUAUGGGACCCUGUCCAUCUCCAUGAAUACGAUCUCCUACUUCUUGGCAGAAUGGGGUUGGAUUGGAUGGCCCAUGAGGUCUCUUCCGACUCUAGGAGUCUAUGAACUCUGCCGGUGCCUCGAAGGAUGGUGCAGUCGUGCUCUCUGGAGGUUUUUAAACAAAGGCUGGGUGGUUUUCGUGGAUCAGGAGUGCUUGGAUUGGAUUGAAUGCGUCAGAGCAGCUCCUUCAUGCUCUUGUUCCCCAGUCGCUUCUGCUUAUUAGAGAGAGUGUGACUCCGGUCCUGGAGCCAGCAUUUAGCCCUCAUGACUAGAAGCCAUUGAUAGGCUUACAUCCAUAAUCUGCCACUCGCUGCUCUGUAAUAUUUUACCACCACGACCCUGCUUCGUUGCCCAUUCCUGCUGCUGCAACAGGCUGCCAGGUAAUGGGCUGUGAUUGCUUUGCAGUCCCUUGCUGAGCUAGCCUGUAGGUAGGUGCGUGAUUGUGCGCGGUUGAGGGUAAUCGUGUGCACCUUUAUUUAUGUUGUGCUCAAGAAAACAAAUUAAGGUCUUGUAAUUAGGUACUGAGGCAUGCGCUUAAACAAAACCCAAGCAAGCAGGAUUCCAUUUAAAAUAUUAAUAAUGACUUUAUCCAUCUGCCUUUAGUGACUUCUUCUUGUGCUGUGCAAGGGGUUUAAAAAACAAUAGGAAAAGAAUAUAUCUUCAACAGAUUGGUGCAAGCACUAAGUUGCCUAACCAGAAACCUAUAUUACAACACUCAAACUGUUGCUCUACAUGUGUGUAUGUGUGCGUGUGUAUAUGAGUGGGAAGGCUGUAGGUCAGACAAUAACAAGGUACAGUAGAGUCUCACUUAUCCAACACUCACUUAUCCAACGUUCUGGAUUAUCCAACACAUUUUUGUAGUCAAUGUUUUCAAUAUAUCGUGAUAUUUUGGUACUAAAUUAGUAAAUACAGUAAUUACUACAUAGGAUUACUGCGUAUUGAACUACUUUUUCUGACAAAUUUGUUGUCUAACAUGGUGUUUUGGUGCUUAAUUUGUAAAAUCAUAAUCUAACUUGAUAUUCAAUAGGCUUUUCCUUAAUCCCUUCUCAAUGCUCGGGCUGUGGCGCAAGCUGGAGAGCAGCUGCAAUGAAUCACUGCAAUGACUCACUCUGACCAGGAGGUCAUGAGUUCGAGGCCCGCUCUGAGCCUAUGUUUGUUUGUCUUUGUUCUAUGUUAAAAGGCAUUGAAUGUUUGCCUAUAUGUGUAAUGUGAUCCGCCCUGAGUCCACUUCGGGGUGAGAAGGGCGGAAUAUAAAUGCUGUAAAUAAAUAAACAAUAAAUAAAUAAAUAUUACCCAACAUAUUCGCUUAUCCAACAUUCUGCCGGCCCGUUUAUGUUGGAUAAGUGAGACUCUGCUGUAUUAUCAAUACUAUUUUUGUAUAUUGGAUCUUCUCUGUUGCAAAAUAAUGUCGAAGGAAGGCAGUUUAAAGGGAGAGGAGAAUGGUUUUCGGGAGAAAAACAAUGGGAUGUGAUUUGUUGCUUUCUGGAACCUGUAUCUGGAGCUUGAAUGUGCGGAGGGCAUACACAGAACAGCCUACCUCCAAAUUACCUGCAUCCCAGUCUUGGUUGUAAAAGCCUCAGCAAAUAUGAAUGGGCUGGAAAACAUAGAUCUUCUCUUAGUGACAGAACACAUUUACAGCUAGAUAUUUCCAUUUCUUUGAUCCUGGGAAUCUCCCAUUUUAGAUUGCAACUAGCUGUGCCCAGCCACGCGUUGCUGUGGCGAAGUCUGGUGGUAUGGGAAAUAAAGUAUCGAGGAAUUGCUGGUAGUUAAGGUAAAGGGUAAAUGUUUUCCCCUGACAUUAAGUCCAGUUGUGUCUGACUCUGGGGGUUGGUGCUCAUCUCCAUUUCUAAGCCGAAGACCCGGCGUUGUCCGUAGACUCCUCCAAAGUCAUGUGAGAUGACUGCAUGGAGCGGCGUUACCUUCCCGCAGGAGCAGUACCUAUUGAUGCACUCACAUUUGCAUGUUUUCGAACUUCUGGGUUGGCAGAAGCUGGGGCUAACAGUGAGGGCUCACUCUGGUCCCCCAAUUCAAACCUUUUGGUCCAGAAGUUCAGCAGCUCAGCGCUUUAACACGCUGCGCCAUCAGGGGAUAUUAUUUCCUAAAGGUUGUGAAUAUACAAUAUUUCUGAUUGUUUUUUUUUGUCUAUUGGAAGCAAGUAUGAAUGCUGCAAUUAGGGAAAAUGAUUAGCAUGUAAUGGCCUUGCAGCUUUAAAGCCUAAGUCUGCCUGUCCCCUGGGCUGAGUUGGUUGCUAGGAGACCAAGUGGGCAGAGAUUAGUACUCUAACUGGCAGCAAUGGGAUAAAAACAAUUAUUCCUUUCCCUCUAAUUAGGACUUUAUUUUUCUUUCUUUUUGUUGUCUCAACAUAGAGGCGCGGAUGAUGGGUUGUGUUGUCAAAUUUCGAGGUUGGGGGGCCUGUAGUUUUGUUGCUUUGUUGGUUGCCGUGAUGCCAUCACUCAUUUAUAUAUAUAGAAGGUUGGAAAAGCCUUGAUUAUCCUCGGGGGUGGGGGUGGGGGGGGGACAACGACAACACCUGGAUGUCAAAGAAGCUGUUGACAUCAACUCCAGCAAUCCUAUAACUUUGAUUGUGUUCAAUGGGACUGAUGGGAACUGACACUGAAAAGACAAAAACAGAACCAUAUCAGAAGUGAUAGUGAGCCUCUGGUGACUUUCUACGAGUAAAUUAAAAUGGCCCAGGGGUCCCAUUGGGGAAGAAUAUUUUUGGAGAGUUGGGUGGAGGCUGGUGUGAUGGAGAGCAGCUCUCUAAGUGCCCAUGGAGACCCCAUGUCCCCGCACCCCACAAUGACAAAAUCCAUUAGUCUUAAGCAGGGGUCUUCAAACUUUUUAAGUGGAAGGCCGGUUCAUGGUCCAUCAGACUGUUGAGGAGCCGGACUAUGAUAAAAUAGUCCAAAAUUAGGAUUGUUGUUGUUGUGUGCCUUCGAGUCGUUUCAGACUUAGAUCAACCCUAAGUUUAAAGUUUAAGACAGGGGCCAGGUAAAUGACCUUGGAGGUCUGCAUCUGGCCCAUGGGCCUUAGUUUGGGGAACCCUGAUCUAAAGGGACCAGUGGUAUUGUUGCACCCCAAGGCAGCACGAGCACUUGAAAAACAGACCAAUAUAACACACAAGCCAUUUAUUGAAGCAGAAUACACACACACACACACACACACACACACAUAUAUAUACACGCAUUUAAGGUGGAAAGUCAGAGUAAGAAAUAGUCCUUAAUAUAUAGUCAAUAGCAACCCAGAAAAAGUUCAUCAAUGUCCAAAUUGCAAUCCACAAGCGAAGCUCGAUAGCUUCCUUUUCAGAAAUCAGAGUCUGUCCAUGAAACAAUAGCAGGAACAAAUCACUGCAAAUUCACUUGGAAAGUCCUGUAGCAGGAUUAAGGAAGCAAGGUAAACAAAGCAGAGUCAAACUCGAUUCAGGAACAAGGAAGACGUGGUAGCAAGGCAAGGUCUACUCGGGAGUUGUGGCUCGGCGCGGCUUGCCUGGAACUGGGAACUCGGCACGGGAAGGAGCUGGAAACUGGAACCUCUUCCUAGGAAAGGCAAAGUUGACACCGCAACAAGAAUACAGUGAGGGGCACUUUUAAGAAAUCCUGAGCCUGUGAAAUUAAUAAUAAUAAUAAUAAUAAUAAUAAUAAUAAUAAUAAUAAUAAUAAUAACAAUAAUUUUAUUCUUAUACCCCGCCCCAUCUCCCCGAAGGGACUCGGGGCGGCUUACAUGGGGCCAAGCCUGAAUAAAACAAUAAAAACAAGACAAGAAACCAAUGAAACCAAUAAUCAAACCAUAAAAACAAGUCAUAAAAACGACAUACAAGAUAAAAUGUUAAAAUCAUGGAUAAAGUUCAAAGAAUCUAGGUCAAAGUGCUAAGAGUGCAAAUAAAUCAUAUCAUCAGGGAAGGAGGUUAUUCAGCUGUAAUGACUAUAAAGUGCUAUUAUAAUACUGGGAAAGGCGUUCACUGAAAUGGACAGCUGGUCAAUGAUACAGAGAUCAGUCACCAAAAGCCUCCCGGAAGAGCCAAGGAGUACAGGACCCACAAAAACUUCCCAUGGAAAAGUUAGCCAUCCGACAUGAGCUAAUCUUCGAGACCUUCUCACUCCCUCUUUCUUGUAUCUAUCACUAGUAACAAAUUCCUUCUGAUUAAAAGUCUCAUCUUCACCCAGGUCAACACCAUCUGGUGUGGGUACUGAUGAAGAGACUUCAGAAUGUUUGCCAAUUAGUGGUUCUUCUGAAACCACCAUAUCAGGCAGUUGCAAGGUUAUGGGGCCUCGGCCUGGAGCAGAAUUGUCUGCAAAAUCCUCAGCCUCAUCUGUUUCCAACUCCAUCUCUUGAUGGAAUACAGACCAUGAUGGCUGAUCUACAACAGGUAUCAUUUGGUAUAGGACUGCUUGGUAGGCAUAGAGUUGGUUGCUUCAUACCAGGUCAUACUUUUUGCCUAUCAAGCCUAGCUUUGUCACCCUUUGGGCUUGCAGCCCCAUGCUCAUUGGACAUUUUGGAGUGCAGUUCCCACAACACCUGAUCAUUAUCCAUUGGAGUUGUAAAGGAAAACUUUAGGAGGACCUACAGUUUGUGUACACAUUAUUAAUGGCUCUCAAAAGCCUUUCACUUUAUCUCCUAGUUGAUCCCGUCGAACUAGAGGUUCCAGGUAUUCAGCCUGAGGUCUUCUGUAUGUGAAACAUGUGGCAUGCCACUGAGGCUUCCAGUGAUUGCUGCUGAAUUUGGAGUGUUCGUUAAAAGGCUCUAAUGCAUUGCCUACUCAUAGUCUCCUAGAUGCCAGCUGAAUUUUCAAGAGACUAGAGAGCUGGCCAAUAAAAUGUCAUGGCAGGGAAUCAUCUCAUGGAGAUGCCGAAACACACGGGCCUGAUCUGUUACAUUCUGUUUCCUCCAUAUGCAGCUUCUGUGAUAUGAUGAGUCCAGCCUAACCACUGCCUCCAGCUGUCUACAGCAGCACAUCUGCAGCAUGUGUAAAUGUUGAUCUACAUUAUUUACACAUCGGCUGGCCAUAACAUUCCCAUUCGGACUCCAUGCUGCAGAAAAAGCACUCUGCCUACCUAUAUCUCUUUUCUUUAACAGAAGGAGAUAUGGUUUAAUGUGAUUUCUAUCAUGCAGUCCUUGGUGUAUGGUAAUGUGGAAAGAUAGGGAUCCUUCUCAUUAAACAGAUUCAUGGAUGGGCGAUGUGUCAAUAGCUAUACUAAGGGGAGGCUGCCUUCCGCAUGCCAGUGAAUAGCAGGUGCUGGGGAACAACAAGAGGAGAAGAGAGCUGUUGCCUGUACAAUGUGCUUGUAGGCUUCUUAGGAACAUUGGGUUGUAUAACACCUCUAGGCAGCGUGAGCAUUGGAAACCAACACGGAGGCCAAUAAACAAUCUAAUAUCUUUAUUAAAGCAAUAAAAGAAUCAAACAAAAAUAAGCAGAUUGUAUAGUCCAGCAAUAGUCCUUUAAGGAAAGGUCAAAUAUAUUCCAGUAAUAUAGAGUUCAAUGUCCAGUAUUAGAGAUCAAGUUUUCAAAUCCAAUAACUGAAACACACUCAAUCUUACAAGCAGUUUGAGUGGGGAAUAAAGCAAGGUCUCUCAAGAAAGUUCCAGGUUCAAUGUCCAAUGCAGGGAAUCAAGGCAAGGCAAGGAAGCAAGGCAAGGCAAGGUUGGUCGUGGUGGAACCGAAACGCAGUCCAGUCUUGGCAGGGAAACGGAACACAACGGCCGGUCUACUCGAGCGGCCGUCAGGCCGCUGAGAUUCACAGGAACAAGAGUCGAUGUUAACUUUCCAACUGUCACAUUGACACCGCGAUGGGUAGCCUGUGCCCAGAACUUUCAUGGAAGUUCAAAAACUCCCUGAACCAGGUGUCUGAGUCCACAUUUUCCCAAGGGAAACGGACUGAUGACAACAACCUGCCAGAUGUAAGUCUCCCUGAAUCUUCCCAAGAGAACCGGUUUAAUUAUAAUCCUCUCUCUCCGCUAAUCUCGCACUUCGUCUCUGAAACUCCUUUUGGAAGUGGUGUGUUUUGAGAAAAGACUUUCUAUCAAACACAACACUGUCCGGGGAACCAGGCUCUGAUUCAAGGGCUUCCGUAAUUAGCUUUGGCACCAAACUGUCAACAGGGGACAUCUGGAAUGGAACGGAAUCUUGCUGAAUUGGGAAAAAACCCAUAUCCUCUUCAGUUUGAUCUAGGGUGGCUGCGGGGUCAUGGCUCAAGGGUCUCUGAGACAUCACAGGUUGCCAGGUGUGAGAGGCCUGGUCUGGUGGCCUGUUCCAGCAUAGUAUGUGCUUGAAAAACUAUUUUGAAACUAAGAUAAUACUGGUGCAAGAAACUGUUUUUUCUUUAAUCUCCCAUCUUAUAUAAGAACUUUCAAGGAGAUGGGGUGGGAUAUUGAAUAAGUGAACAUUUCAGACAUCUUCCGCCCUCCUGUCUAUUCCUGGUCUGAUGCCUAAAAGUAUCUGAUGAGUCACUACCAAUCCUUCUCUUCUGAUCUAACAGUGCCUUGUCCUCCUGCUUUUUAGCAAGACAAAAUUCUAGGAGACCUGAGUCUUGAAGCAACAGUAGGAUGUGUUGGGGAGGAAGCUGCUUAUUUGGAGGGAAAUUUCCUUUGGCUCAUUUUUUUUUUAAAAAAAAUAAUUUUCAUAAAUGUUCAAACCUCUGAAUGGACACAGUAUAAAGAACUCAAGAUAAAAAAGUACCAAUGCUGGAGAAAACAAAACUGGACAGAUUCAUCUAUGUAAAGCUUAAUUUAUUGUCUCAUAUGGAGUUGGACUUUAAACCACUGUGUUGUAUAUUCCUUCAUACUAUACUGGGGGGGAGUCUUCUUCAUAUUGUUAUCAACUCUUAUCUUUAUCAGCUAUUAGCUUGGGUACCUGGCGAUGCCCAGGUUAUUUGAAAAGGGCCUUGUUUGUUUUUGGAUGUGAGGUUAUAUCAGUUUGGUCAUAUGUUACGCUAUGUCUUAGAAAAACACUCAGUCUUUGCUUUUGUUUAUUAUGGAUGCUCCCAUUAGGAAAUGCGGGUGAACUGCACUUCCCAAAAACCUUGGGUCAACCCUCCCAAAACUCCGCCAGUAUUCACAGUUGGCCAUGUUGGGUCUGUGUGCCAUGUUUGGUGCAGAUCCGUCACUUGCUGGGUUCAGUGUUCUCUGAAUAUGGGUGAACUAUAACUCCUGGAUGUCAAGGUCAGUCACUCCCCCAACCCUGCCAGUAUGCACACUUGGCCAUGUUGGGUCUGUGUGCCUAAUUAGUUCCAGCUCCAUCACUGUGCCUAGUUAUUUCCAGCUCCAUUAUUGGUGAGGUUUAGAGUGCUCUUAGACUGCAAGUGAACUAUGCAUCUCAGUACCUACAACUACUAGAAAUCAUGGUGAUUUCCCCCCAAACCUCUCCAGUCUGUUCAGUUGCUGAUCAGUUCCUCUGUUUGCUGUGUGCCGUAGAAAAGGGUAGGAAAGGGUUAAAGGAGAGGCAGUGGGUGGCGUCAUGCAAAUGGCAAGAGAAAGGAACACUGGGAUGUGCUGGCUGUAAAGGAGGGGAGUGACUUGGUGGCUCCUCAGCACUGGGACCUAUAGCCUGUUUGCGGAGGCUGGAGGCUGUCUGUGUGAACAAACACCUGUGCCACAUACACACAUACACACUUUCACUUUUAAUAUGUGUAUAGAUAAAUGUGGGAGGAAGGUACACAAAAUAUAAUCACUUCUAAAGUGAAAGUAGCUCUGCUCUUUGAACAGUGGCUGCCAUCCUACACUGAAGUUAUGGAUUCAUACCCUAAAGUUAUGGAUUCAUUAACUGGUCCAUGUCCAAACAUGUUGGGUAUUCACAAUCAUAGAGUCAUAGUCAUAGAAUAGUAGAGUUGGAAGAGACCUCAUGGGCCAUCUAGUCCAACCCCCCGCUAAGAAGCAGGAAAUCGCAUUCAAAGCACCCCCGACAGAUGGCCAUCCAGCCUCUGCUUAAAAGCUUCCAAGGAAGGAGCCUCCACCACAGUCCGGGGGAGAGAGUUCCACUGCCGAACAGCCCUUCUCACAGUGAGGAAGUUCUUCCUGAUGUUCAGGUGGAAUCUCCUUUCCUGUAGUUUGAAGCCAUUGUUCCGUGUCCUAGUCUGCAGGGCAGCAGAAAACAAGCUUGCUCCCUCCUCCCUAUGACUUCCCUUCACGUAUUUGUACAUGGCUAUCAUGUCUCCUCUCAGCCUUCUCUUCUGCAGGCUAAACAUGCCCAGCUCUUUAAGCCUCUCCUCAUAGGGCUUGUUCUCCAGACCCUUAAUCAUUUUAGUCGCCCUCCUCUGGACGCUUUCCAGCUUGUCAACAUCUCCCUUCAUCUGCGGUGCCCAAAAUUGGACACAGUAUUCCAGGUGUGGUCUGACCAAGGCAGAAUAGAAUAAGGGGGAGCAUAACUUCCCUGGAUCUAGACGCUAUUCCCCUAUUGAUGCAGGCCAGAAUCCCAUUGGCUUUUUUAGCAGCCGCAUCACAUUGUUGGCUCAUGUUUAACUUGUUGUCCACGAGGACUCCAAGGUCUUUUUCAAGGCACUAUUAACAUGAAUGCAAAUUUUCCCUGCAAAAAAAAAUCCCUCCUUACUUUUACUGUUCUGCUGAUGAGCAGGGAAUGGCAAGAUGAUAUUUCCAAGCGCCUUCUACUAGUCUAAUGAGAUUCAGAAGUAAGACCUCUAUCACAACUCCUUGCACUGGAGAUUACUAGCAGAAAUGGAUUGGAAACAGGGGCGGUUUAACCGCGAGGCCAUUUAGGCACUUGCCUGUGGUGCCAUAAUCCCGGGGGCGCAGUUGAGUUGCUCCCGCACACGCAUGCAUGCAUGCAUGCAUGCACUGCACCCCCCGCCGCCACCUCCUUCAGGCCUUCGGCAUACCCGGUCACGUAGGACCACCAUUCCCACCCCACCUCGGCCGCCAGCACCAGCACCGUUUUGUUCCGGCGAAAAUGGUGCUGGUGCUGGUGGCCAGGGUGGUGCAGGAAUGGCGGUCCUUCCAUCUCCACAGCAACGGCGCGAAGCAGCCUACCCAGGCGGGAGCACAGGUCCCGCUUGGGUAGGCCGCUCUGUGCCAUUGCCGUGGAAACAGAAGGUCCGCCAUUCCCGCACCACCCCGGCCGCCAGCGCCAGCACAAUUUUGCUCCGGUGGCUCCACUCUUCCUCCCGCUGCCACUGCCAUCACAGACCAUUGGAAACUAGGCAAGAGGCCUGUUGAAAACUAGGGAAGUGGGGAUUGCAUAUCUAUGGAAUGUAAAGGUUGGGAGAAAGAACUCAAAGAACUUUUGUCUGUCUGAGGCAAGUGUGGAUGUUGCAGUUGACCACCUUGAUUAGCUUUGGAUGGCCUUGCAGCUUCAAAGCCUGGCUGCUUCCUGCCUGGGUGGAUCCUUUGUUGGGAAGUGUUAGCUGGCCCUGAUUGUUUCAUGUCUGGGAUCCCCCUGUUUUUGAGUGUUCUUUUCUUACUAUCCUGAUUUUAUUUAUUUAUUUAUUUACCAUACUUGUGUCCCACCCUUCUCACCCCAAAUGGGACUCAGGGUGGCCUUACAACUGGCAACAAUUCGAUGCCCAAUUGGUUUGGGGAGGGGGUGCCAAAUUUCUGUUCGCCUACACUUGAAAAUUACCUUGGGCCGGCCCUGAUUGGAAACAUUGUUCUGGUGCCCCUUGAACUUUCGUAGAACAGACUACCACCCCUUUCUGUAGCUCCUGCUGUAGGUUUGAAGGUUGGAUUGCGUAGUUUGAUGUUCAUAACUACAUCUUUAUGUGGGCUUUGGAUGAUGGUUUCCUUUCAGUGAAUGUAUCAGAUGAAACAUUUGUCCAUUCUUUCUGAAAUCAUUUUCCCCGCGCAUGAAAUCUUCUCCCUUUCAGCGGUUAUUACUAGAGAAAUAUCCAACCAGAUUAAACAGAAUGUGCCUGCAUUGCUUGCUGAAUUAUCUCUGGAUUUGAUUAGGUAACAUCUCUCAAAUUAAGUUUUUGAGAUAAGGUUAAUACAUUUAACAUGAAUGUUUUAUGGUGAACAUCGUAUUUUCUCUGAGGUAUUUCACUGUACACUUCAGUGGUUGACUUUCAGAAAAGAAAAAAGAAAAACAAUCCUAUAUUUAGAGAAUGGAUGUGUGGGCUUGUAUCACCCAAUUUUUCACUCAAAAGGAUACAACUGUCAUUUUUCAAAGGUGGAUUUAAUUUUCCAGAAGUGAGUCUGUAUCAUAAGGCACAUCUCCUGACUAGUACAAAUAAGAGACCAAAACAACCUAAUUCAGAAACUCCACGGUAGGCAAUCUUGGAAUCAAAUUACUUGGAACUUCUUUUUCUGUGUGAAUGGGCUACUUUUGUUUCUGUUGACUUAAGGAAGAAAGGAUGAUAUAGCUGUGAUUUUUGCUGAAGGUGCAGGGAGUCAAGUAUUUUGUCAUUUACAAUUUAAUCUAUAUGUUCAUUCUAAGACAUUUGUAGGCUUCUUUAUUUAUCGUGUCAGAAGCAAAAUGAGGGAACAGUGUUCCCUCACUUAUCGCUGGGGUUAUGUUCCAGGACCACCCGCAAUAAGUGAAAAUCCGCAAAGUAGGGACACUAUAUUUAUUUUAAUAUUUAUACAUUACUAGCUGUUCCCGGCCACACGUUGCUGUGGCAUUGUCUGGUGGUGUUGGUGAGAACUUGUUGAGGUAGUGGUGGUAUUGAAUGUCUGUUGUAUGGUUGUCUUUAUGUUUAGUAUGUAUUUGGUUGUUUGUGUACUGUGAAAAUGGUGAGGGUAGAGGGUGUCUAUGUCCCUGUGUAGUAUUGUAUAGUAUUUAUAUGUUGUCCAUGUGUUGUGAAUGCUUGGAUUGUGUCCUGCUGCAUAGUAGAAAGGGUUGGGCUGGUUGGCCCUUAGGGGUCUCUCCAACCUCUUGGAUUAUAUGCUUCUGUUAUUAUUAUUAUUAUUAUUAUUAUUAUUAUUAUUAUUAUUAUUAUUAUUAUUAUCAUCAUCAUCAUUAUGUAGAGGCUGGAUGGCCAUCUGUCAGGAGUGCUUGGAUUGUGUCCUACUGCAUGGUAGAAGGAAGUUGAGCUGGAUGAUCCUUAGGGGUCAUUCCAAACCUUAGGAUUGUAUGAUGAUAUUAUUAUUAUUAUUAUUAUUAUUAUUAUUAUUAUUAUUAUUAUUAUUAUUAUUAUUAUUAUUGAGAGGCUGGGUGGCCAUCUGUUGGGCGUGCUUGGAGUGUGUCCUCCAUGGCAGAAUUGGGCUGGACUGGAUUACCACAGUAAUUAUUUGAUAUUACAGUAGAAUCUCACUUAUCCAACAUUCGCUUAUCCAGUGUUCUGGAUUAUCCAACGCAGUCUGCCUUUUAGUAGUCAAUGUUUUUGUAGUCCAUGUUUUAAAUUCAUUGUGAUAUUUUGGUGCUAAAUUUGUAAAUACAGUAAUUACUACAUAGCAUUACUGUGCAUGGAACUACUUUUUCUGUCAAAUUUGUUGUAUAACAUGAUGUUUGGUGCUUAAUUUGUAUAAUCAUUACCUAAUUUCUUGUUUAAUAGGCUUUUUCUGAAUCCCUUCUUAUUAUCCAACUUAUUCACUUAUCUAACGUUCUGCCGGCCUGUUUAGUUGGAUAAGUGAGACUCUUCUGUAUAUUUAUAAUCUUAUAUUAUCUGCUUAGAACUGGAUUAUAUGAGGACCCUUCUUCACAGCUGUAUAAAAUGCACACUGAAGUGGAUUAUAGGGCAGUGUGGAGUCAAUAUAAUCCAAUUCAAAGCAGAUAAUAUAAGAUUAUAAAUGGGUUAUAUAGCUGUGUGGAAGGGCCUUGAGUCUACACUGCCAUAUAAUCCAGUGCAAAUUAGAUAAUUUGUGGAAGAGGCCUCAGUGAGGCCUAACUGUGCCUGUCCCCUGGGCUGAGUAGGUUGCUAGGAGACCAAGUGGGCAAAACUUAGCCUUGUAACUGGCAGCAAUUGGAUAAAAACAAUUAUUCCUCUCCCUCUAAUUAGGACUUUAUUUUUCUUUUCUUUUUGUUGUAUCAACCUAGAGCCGUGAAUGAUGGGUUGUGUUGUCAAAUUUCGAGGUUGGAGGGCCUGUAGUUUUGUUGUUUUGUCCGGUGCCCUGAUGCCAUCACUCUUUUAUAUAUAUAGAUUUUAGAAGGUAUACACUAUUUUAAGUCAGUUGCACACGUGUUCAUAAAUCAUACCCACAAACCCUUUGUACUACUGUGGGAAAUGGUUCUAUUUCCCAGUCACAUAAAUCCCUUGGGUAAUAGACUAUUAUUGUUCCUCUCAUUUUUCCUUUGAUGGUCCAAGCCAAAUGGACCUUGUAUAUAUUCAACAAUUGUAUCUCCCAUGUUGACCUUUAUGGCAUGACUUCAAAGGUACCGUGACACAUAUUUAUAAAUGACAGAGAUUGUAAAAAGAAGUCAUGCUUACCAAAUUUGUGGAUUACACCAAAUUAAAAAGAACAUUUAGUACUCCAGAAGGCAGUUACAGAAUUUAAAAUGAACUUGACAGAUUGAAAGUUGGGGUGGGAAGCUUUAACAAUGAACUUCAGCUGGGAUACAUGUAAGGUGCCACAUGUCGAUAGAAAAAAAUGAAAUGAAUUAAUAUUGCUCAAAAUCAGAACACGUGAAUGGAUCUUAUCAAUAUUUGUGUGUAUGUAUUUUUACUCUUUACAAUUUUAUCUUGUAAAUCGCCUAGAGCAUCUUGGAUGGAGGGCGGUUAAUAAGUAAUUAAAUGAUGAUGAUGAUGAUGAUCUUGAAAGAGUACAGGUUAAACACGAAUCAACACUGUGAGGAGACAACCAAAAUCAAUGCUAAAAUCAAUACAAAAACUAUCAAUUACGAUACUGGAAAAUGAAAUAAAUUGCAGAAACUGGGUUUUUGUGAGUUUUCCGGACUGUCUGGCCAUGUUUCAGAGGCAUUUUUUCCUGAUGUUUUGCACACAUCUAUGGCAGGCACCCUCAGAGGUUUUGAAGUCUGUUGGAUUGUCCAGGGUGGGAGAAAGAACUCUUGUCUGUUUCAGGUAAGUGUGAAUGUUGCAACUGGCCAGCUUGAUUAGCAUUGAAUAGCCUUGCAGUUUCAAAGCUUGGCUGAUUCCUGCCUGGGGAAAUCCUUUGUUGGGAGGUGUUAGCUGCCCCUGAUUAUUUCAUUCCUGGGAUUCCUCUAUUUUCUGAGUGUUUUUCUUUAAUUAUUGUCCUGAUUUUUAGAGAUACUUGGAGCCAGAUUUUGUUCAUUUUCAUGGUUUCUUCCUUUCUGUUGAAGUUGUCCACAUGCUUGUGGAUUUCAGUGGCUUCUCUGUGUAGUCUGACAUGAUAGUUGUUGCGGUGGUCGAGCAUUUCUGUGUUCUCAAAUAAUAUCCUGUGUCCAGGUUGGUUCCUCAAGUGCUCUGCUAUGGCUGAUUUCUCUGGUUGAAUUAGUCUGCAGUGCCUUUCAUGUUCUUUGACUCGUGUUUGGGCAAUGCUGCCUUUGGUGGUCCCUCUGUAGACUUCUCAUCCACAGCUGCAUGGGAUCCGGUAGACUCCUGCAGAGGAGAGAGGAUCCCUCUUGUCUUUCGAUGACCGUAGCAUUUGUUGGAUUUUCUUUGUGGGUCUGUAGAUAGUUUGUAGGUUGUGCUUCUCCAUCAGUUUGCCUAUGCGGUCAGUGGUUCCCUUGAUGUCUGGUAAGAACACUUUUCCUCUGGGUGGAUCUUUGUCUUGACUCUCAUGGCUUGUUCUUGGCCUUGAAACUCUACUGAUGUCUGUGGUGGAGUCUCCAUUGGCCUGGAGAGCCUGGUUUAGGUGGUUCCAUUCACCUUAGAGGAGAUGGGCUUCACAGAUCCUUUUUGCACAGAUGGUCAAUUGCAACAUUCAUACUUGCCUCCAACCAACAAAAGUUCUUUCUCCCACCCUGGACAUCAUUCCACAAUUUGCCUAGUUUCCAACAGACCUCACAACCUCUGAGGAUGCCUGCCAUAGAUGUGGGUGAAACAUCAGGAGGGAAUGCUUCUGGAACAUGGCCAUACAGCCGGGGAAACUCGCAGCAACCCAGUGAUUCCGGCCAUGAAAGCCUUUGACAACGCAAUUGCAGAAAGUUUGGUAGUUAAAUAUGGUUACAGUAGAGUCUCGCUUAUCCAACAUAAACGGGCCGGCUGAAUGUUGGAUAAGCGAAUACGUUGGAUAAUAAGGAGAGAUUAAGGAAAAGCCUAUUAAACAUCAAAUUAGGUUAUGAUUUUACAAAUUAAGCACCAAAACAUCAUGUUAUACAACAAAUUUGACAGAAAAAAUAGUUCAAUAUGCAGUAAUGCUAUGUAGUAAUUACUGUAUUUACGAAUUUCCCACCGAAAUAUCACGAUGUAUUGAAAACAUUUACUAUAAAAAUGUUUGGCCUAGACCUGUGUAUUAGAGCUUAAAUGAAUCUAUUUCACUUUAUCUAUUUAAAAUUUGUAACUCAUAAUGUGCACCUUGCUUAUCCGCUAUUGCAACCUCAUUGUUUUUAAUUCGAUGUUUUAAUACCAUGUUGUGUUUUUUCGGCUGCUGUGUAUAUAUUAUUAUUGGUUUUUAUUAUUGUUCUUUGAUGUUUCAUAUUUUAUUUUAUCAUUGUUUUGUAUCUGAUUUUGCUGUGAGCCGCCCCGAGUCCCCUUCGGGGGAGAUGGAGGCGGGAUAUAAAUAAACUUAUUAUUAUUAUUA